This 74-nucleotide transfer RNA is filed under the name Caudoviricetes sp. Its description in RNAcentral is "tRNA-Gly". It matches the Rfam family "tRNA". From Rfam's summary of the family: Transfer RNA (tRNA) molecules are approximately 80 nucleotides in length. Their secondary structure includes four short double-helical elements and three loops (D, anti-codon, and T loops). Further hydrogen bonds mediate the characteristic L-shaped molecular structure. tRNAs have two regions of fundamental functional importance: the anti-codon, which is responsible for specific mRNA codon recognition, and the 3' end, to which the tRNAs corresponding amino acid is attached (by aminoacyl-tRNA synthetases). tRNAs cope with the degeneracy of the genetic code in two manners: having more than one tRNA (with a specific anti-codon) for a particular amino acid; and 'wobble' base-pairing, i.e. permitting non-standard base-pairing at the 3rd anti-codon position. The record is from RNAcentral. Lineage: Duplodnaviria; Heunggongvirae; Uroviricota; Caudoviricetes.
GCGGAUUUAGUUUAAUGGUAGAACCUCUGAUUUCCACUCAGACAGUGCGAAUUCGAUUUUCGCAAUCCGCUCCA